GUCUUCAGGGCAGUUUCAGACUUCAGUUUAUGGAUUCCUUGUUUGGGAAUGAGUUUCUUAACCUUACCUCAGUUUCAGAAGUAGCAGACAAAGGGACUCUUAAAGCUAUUGACAUGUCAAAGCCCACCACAUGGACAUAAAAAAGAGUAACAGAGAUGGUGAAACUGAAGAUGGAAAAGACUUUUUCAUACAGAAGACAUGAAGUUGUUCGUGAUGCACCAAUGGUGGAGGCUUUCAUGGCAAGAUGGCCUGCUCUAUUUGACUUCCAUGAGAUCAACGCUGAGUUUAAGAGAAUUGCCACCAUCCCCCCCUCAAACAAAGUUCCUGGCUCAGCUGGAUCUCCACUUGGGCAACCUGGUGAAGUUGGUCAACAGAAGAGGAGGGCUUGGACUAAUAUCGAAAAGAAUUGCGGCACAAAUGGAUAAUUGUGAAGAUGUUGAUGCUGGACGUGAGUGUGUCAAGGGAGUGUGUAUCUACAUGGGUGAAGACCCUGACAUGCUUAUCCGGGAGUAUGUGGUAUGUACUUCUUUUUUUUUUUUUCCUUUUUUUUUUUCCCGGACUUUCCACAGUGUGUCAUAUUACUUACUUGGCAUGAAAUGACUAACAUGGCUUCCUUUUUACAGGGCAUGGAAGAAUGUGCCAUCAAUGAGACUGUUGAAGACACCACUGUUCGAAUUUAUCUUCUUAAAGAGCAAGCUUCAGCAGAAGAACAAGAGUUGUUCUUGCAGGCAUCAGGGUGGUGAAGAAUUUGGAUAAUAUAGCAUUUGCUGUGAUAAUGCUAUUUGGACUCAUGUAUGCAUUAAACCUUGCCUACCCUGCUGACCUCCGCUACAACUUGGACAUUUUCCAGAAGGUUUUCAUGGAACUGGAUGGAGCUAAACUCUCUAAAGGUCUUGCUUUCAAAAACCAUCUGUUUCAUUGAGAAGUCAAAGACAGCACUUCUGCAAUUCUUUGCAGUUUUUCAUUUUGUGUUCAGUAACGUUAUACUGCUUAUGUUUUUAUUGCUUUCCCCUCAUGUGACUGCAAUGCAGGAAGAUUUUUCCUUUUGGUAUCAUGUUGUAAGAAAUUUUUACUGACGAUUUUUAGCAAUAUGUUCUGAGUCAACCUUAAUGUCCUGCUUAUAUGUUUAAA
Molecule: long non-coding RNA, 1131 nt
Organism: Oreochromis aureus
Lineage: Eukaryota; Metazoa; Chordata; Actinopteri; Cichliformes; Cichlidae
Source: Ensembl